AUUCUGAAUAAGCCCCGUUCGGAUUAACAAGCAGAGGCUGCGUGCACACAGCAGACCCGUGGGUGCUGCAAGCCUUGCUGCGAUGCAGGCAGCAGAUGACAGCUGCAGGGCUGUGCGGCUACGGGGCUGCGGGGAUGAUGCAGGCAGAGCAGCGGGCAGCAGUGCUGGGGGCACACAGCCCUGUGACGUUGCCUUUCUGUGGGGGAAUGCCACCGGAGCAGCCAUUCCGGCAGCAUUAGGGCUGUGGUGGCUCCCAGGAUUACCCACGCACAGCCCUCCCAUCCCCGGCAGAAUCGCUGUGCCCAAACACAAUAGGAGCCUGGAAGAAAGCAACGGCCUCGACAAUGAGUUUCUCUGCUUUUAUAGGUUUUAGUGGAGCCCAUUGUGCUGUUUUAACACCCUUUUUUGUAUUUCGAUUCCUAAUAUCUUUGACUGGGGGAAGGGUGGAGAGGGCACCGAUUUAAUUCGAUAAUCCCCCUAAGCCUUGCUUAAUGCACUCACUCUAUUUUGUGCCUGUGAAUUUUAUAGUGGUAUUUGGGGUGGUUGCAGCACUGCACUGGAAUACGUCCCACCAUUUAUUUUGCAGCCAUUGGAGGGAAAUGGCUCGCAGUGCUGAGCAGCCUAUUCACUGCGCUCACAUUGUCAAACCCAACAAACCGUCAGCCCAGAUGUGGUCGGAUCCCGGGGCUGCAGCAGGGAUGUGGGGAAGGGAGUUCAGAGUCCGCUGCAAAUUGCUCAAAUGAAUAUCUAACCACGAGCAGAAGGCUUCCUCCCUCUGCCAAAAUUCUGAGCUGGAUUUGGGUUGUGAGAACAGCUCAAGGCUCCUUCUGAAGGGUACCAAGACAGACAAGUCUUUGGGCUCCCAAAACUUCAUGGCUGUGCCAUGAGCAAUUUGCUCCUAGCAGGAACAUGAGGUGGUGCUGAGCCAUCCUGGGAGCAUCUCAGAAGGCUACAGCAGAGACAAAAAGUGCCAACGUAAGGGUCAGAAUGUCUGGGGCAGCUGGCAUGCAGCAGCAACAAAGCUAAGAUGAGAAGAAGGGGUUUGGAAGAGGUCAGGAUCAGAAAGACGGUGUCUGUAGGGAACCGGGUCAUCCAAAGAGGAGAAAAGAACAAAGGAAGAAAAAAUAUUAAGAGGCUGAGAUCUACCACAUUGACAGAGAAGACAGGAAGGUGUCCACAGACAUCUCAGAGAGAGGAGGAGACCUCAGCAGGAACAUGGCAGGGCUCCUGUAGUUUAGCAAACUGCCCAAGAAUGUGCAGAAUAAAAAGCUGCUUUUCCUUUUUUCACCUAUAGCCUGUGCAACUGCCUUCCUCAUUUCUUACAGCCCAGCAGUAAGGAUGUAAUGCCUCAUGAAAAUAAAUAUGGAUGGCUGGAAUUGUGUCUGUAAGGCUCCCAUUUGCCUUUCACAGCCUCAGCCCACAUCUUUCAGCCUUCCAUGCAAUUUCUCAUCAAACACCAGGACAGUACUCAGCCGCACAGAGCUCAUGGAUCUCAUAAACUCUACAGAAAAGCUUUCUUUAUUGGCAUAAAAGACACAACAGGAUAAGUAUUUGGAGGUGUUGAAAAACACUUCACCAGACAUUAAAUUAUAUUAUUUAUUCUAUCAAGAAAAGCUCUAAGGGACAUCCCAAAAAUGUGAGCCGUCUUCCAAUGGAGAUAAGAAAGAGAACACACGUACCAGCAAGCUGUUUCUAAAGCUCUGAUCAGCUGAGGCAAGAAAAAAAAGAAGUUGAUGGUGGGAGAUUGUGCAAAUUGAACUCCUGAGGAUAUUAAAAAAAAAAGAGUAUUUCCAAAGAUAAGAAGCUGGAAGGCUAUAAAAGAAUGUAUCCAUCCACUAAAUGAUGGGAGUUCAAGAGCUAAAUGAAACAGUUGCCCAGGGAGGUGGUGGAGUCACCAUCCACGGAGGUGUUCUACAACUGUAGGGAUGUAGCACUGAGGGAAAUGGUUAUGGGCAUGGUGGAGGUGGGAUGGGGUUGGUUGGACUCGGGGAUCUUAGUGGUCCUUUCCAACCUUAAUGGUUCUAUGAUUCUACAAUUCGAUGUGGAUCACUGUUUCCUACAGAGGAAUGGAUGGAGGUUUCCAAAUCAAAGCCCUUCUUCAAGAGGGAUGAGAUUGAGAAAUUUUCUCACAAUGAAGAUCAGCAGAGAAGACUUUAAGCUGAAUAAAUAAAAUUAAUGGCAACCAAAUUCCAGUAUGGGAUGGCAUUGACCAAAAGUCCUAGAGAAGGGCUCAGGCAUGAAUUACCCGAUUGCCUGACUGGUUUCAAGCUCAUUGGCCAGAGCAGGCCUGAUACUGAAGGAAUGGAACAAAAAAAUGGAACUAAACAAAGAUAAUGCAAAAUAAUGGCAAUGGAAGCUACAGAUAAGUAGAAAUGGGCUCUGAGCUAUGACAAUUUAAUGAGGAGAUGCUGGCUUCAUUAUGCUGAUCGCUCUGUAGUGCCUCACACGAUGCUCAGAGAUAGUCAAAGGCAAACAGGAGGGAAUGGGGAACAAAUAAAAACAAGUGUUGUGAUGCCAGUGGACAAUCAGCAGUUUCAGUCCUCCCAUCUCAAAAUGGGCACAGCAGUGUGAAAAAAGGUGGAGGACAACAGAAGGGAGUUGGGCUUGGAGCUGCCCUGUGUGUGAGUAGGGUUGGGCUUUGCUGUUUGGAGGGGACACCCAAAAGGGGAUGUGGUGCAGGCCCCCAACCAGCAGCUUUAGAAACUCUUACUGCUGUGGGCAAACUUAUUCAAGGCAGUUUUCUAAUUCAUCACCUUGUGUGCUAAUUUAUAUUUAAUUUUUAUUUCUAUAAAACUGUACUCAAAGGGUGUUAAUGAGCUUAUUAAUAAUGUUUACACGUUAUGGAUAUUGAUAAAUAUAUUCAGAAAAUUAAUGGAUAUUUUUAAUUAAAUAAAACCAGCACUUUAAAAAACUCUUAGCAACUUGGUGGGGUCCCUCACAAAAAUACCCAUUACUUCUGUAAAACCAAAUUAAAAUGCAAUAAUUCUGACAACCUAGAAGAGAAAGGAUAGAGGGGUCUAAGCGACACGCUUGGUGGAUGGAGUGACAGCAGCAUUUGCAUUCCCAGCUCUGCGGGGACAGACAUGAUGAAUUCUGAGCCACGCAGGCAGACACAGUGUGCCCAGACUGACUGCAAAGCUAUGGGCACCCCAGCAGGAAAAGCUGAAGAUGCAGGAUCAGGCCCUGCAAAUUAAACAGACAAACAAACAAAAACCCACAGUCCAUAACAGGGUUCAGCAAGAUGUGAAGUUGUUGAAUUAUCUCAGCCGGGAAACGUCAGGUAGCAUUUCUGAGGAGAGCCCUUUGUGCACAUCGUCCCCGGAGCGAGCAGAGCAGGAGCCAUUUGCAUGAGCACUGCGCUGAGCAGCUGCAGAACGCUGGGCGCAGAGGGCUCGCACCAACCCACGCUCCUGGCGAGGCAGGAUCCCAUCCAGAGCUACAGAUGUGGGCACUGCCACUGCAACAGCACCAAUGAGGAGAGCUGCCUCGUCACUUGCAGCUAUAGACAGGUGGCAUCUUGUGUGCUAGCAAAUGGAUCUGCAGCUUCACCAGAGGAAGAGACACCACAUUUACAUGACACGGAACAAAUCUCUGAACUCAGACGAACUAUUUUAAGAUGGAAUUUAGAAACAAAGGAGAGUGUUGCCCUGACCGUUUCCCAACAGCCUUUCCUGUGGGAUAGAGCUACACGGAACUCUCGGUUAUGGAGCACCACCCAGAGGGCAGAGCGGAGGGAUGCAGAAGUGAGAUGAUCGGGUACGUAAAAAUAGCAGAGAUCCUACAGCAGAUCUUACAUAACCACCAGCAGGUACCGGAUUGUUAUUUAACAGAUGUCGUCAAGAGAAAAAACUGUGAAAAGGAGAUUGCUUUGUCAAGAGAGGAUGUUUAUGGGCACACAGGACCUCUGCACGCAAGCAAAUGUGUCUGUUUUGUUAAUGAUUUAGCACCUCUUAUUUACUCAAACAAACUACAAUGCCAAAAUUUCAUUUUGAGGUUACUGCAUUUUGAUACCACCUUAAAGUAAGCUUUGGCUUUUCAAUACCUGUAUUUGGUUUCAGCUGUAUAGUACAAAGCACCAGUUCUGAAACUGCUUCUAAAUAGCACUUAUUUUUGUAUCAGUUACAGAAAAACUUGGAUUUCAUUUCAGGAACAAUGAGUGUCCUUGUGUCUCACCUGGAUGCACAAGGAAAGGCCCGAGAUUAGCAGAAAGCAUAUAAAAAAAAUGGAUGAUAGUUAGUCAAAAAUGUAAAAAAAAUGCUUAACCUCCUGUAGUCUAAAUCCAAAGGGAUUCGGACACAUGCAUUCCCAUAUACAUUUACUGGAGAGGAAAGGUACAGUCCGAGUACCACCCAGCACACCCACAUGGUUCUAACCUCAACUUUCUGAUUUGCAGCUGUGCUGUAUUACUGUCUCCCCAGGCAUGUCCUGACACUAUGCUAAAGCUAGAGAACAGACAGCAGAAUUUGACUCAUCCAGAAUAUAUAGUAAUAAAUACAGUAAGAGAGACACUCAUUUGGUGUUACAAGCCGAAUAAGGAGAAGAUAAUUGAUUUUAGCAGUGAAAUUAAAGAGAGGUAAAUCCUGUUUACUUGCAUGUCCUCUCAACUACAGCAUUACAGUGAGAGGUGACAGACAAAAGCUGGAACAUGGGAAGUCCAGAUAAGGAAACGAUUUUGGACUACAAGGAUGGUCAGACUGGAAGGGGUUGGGUUGCCCAGAGAGGUUGCCCAACCUUCUUUCCUUCAAGGUGUUCAGACUUGUUUGGUCAAACACAAUAUUUUAGGCCUGCUCUGUGCAGGACGGGGAUUGGGUGACCUCUGGAGGUCUCCCCCAAGAAAAGCAAAACCCUCUCUUUUUUGAGAGGUUUUUGCAAUAUCAAAUGGGCAGAAGCAAUGGGCGGUUGAGUCAAGAGUUGCCAAAGCCAAGCUUUUCAGAGGGUUAAAUGCACUAGGUUAAUCAGACUUAUUUAAUAUUAAGAGUGGUUUUGGUAAGUUAAUUGUACAACGGCACAAGUAUGAGGCAUUUUUUUCUGAGAUUUUUUCCCUGCAGGUUCUCACUUGGAGUAAGAUGCACAUACAGAGAUGCUAUGCUGCAGAACCAGGGUGCUUAUUAGCACCAAGCAAUAUCAGUAAGAGGGUAGAAAGGCAGAACUGAGUCUGUGAAAGUAUGAAAAAUGCACAUGCGUGCAGGAAAUCAAAAUCUCCUGGACCAGCUUCACCUAUGACCCAUAUGUGGAACCUCAACAAGAUCUCUUCCACCACGAUAUUUGUCACAAUUUCCCCCCCUACAUGUUCAGCACUCGUUACCCACCCUUUCAGGCCUUUUACAGAUCUGAAUGCUUUGUGAUAAUCUGCGCUCUGUCUGGGAAGGGCACAUGAGGGAGAGGGAGGUGAUCCUGCAGCAUUUGACAAGUUUGGCCACAGCAGAAUGAGAUUGAUUUUAUUCUAUGGGACAAUGUGUAGAUUAAAGUUUCAUCUAAAGAUUUCCACUCAAAAUGCUUCAAAGGCAUUCCUUUAUUAUUAUUACUAUUACUACUACUAUUACUAUAAUUUAAAAAGAGCAAGCAUGGAAAGAAACUCUCAGUGUAGCUUCUUCCUCAAAGCAUCUCUGCUUCUGAGUACAUCUGUUGUUCACCAGCAAAGACUGUUGCAUCACUACGCUCCUCUCCAGCACUAAGUGCCACUGCUGCUGUUGGCAUUUAUAUAACAGAAUUCUGCUUCGGAGAAACAUGAAUAAGCACUAGCAUCAAAUCUGGCUUUCACUAGGAGAUUUACUACUGCUGUCCAGCAUGAUGCUUCUUGGAUGCAGAGGAUCCAGAAAGAGAUGAGUCAUGGAGCUGCAGAUCUGUGUGCAGCUGCAGUGCGCUGUGACACGGAGCUCCCAGGGAAUGAAAGGUGCACCUGAAGAUGGGCGUUACUCACCAGGAAGAUGAUUCCUUAAGGGGAGAGCUCAAGAGAAGCAGGAAGAGCUAUUGAUCGCAAUGUUUUGAGCAACCCUAGGGGAUCAUAGAGCAACUGAGAGAAUGUUAACGAUAUGAAGCUGUGGAGCCACAGGAUCAGCAACACAGGAAGAAGGCUGGGGGUCACUGCGGAGAUGGAAAUCCCAGCCCUAAUUGCUCUGAAGGAGCCUGGCGAAGGGAAGCUAUCCAAUGGCUGCUCUGGGCACAACUAAUGAGCUGUUUGUGUUCUGAAUGCAGGCUGUGGUCUGUACACCCAUACUCUGCAGCACAUAGCUAACAAAUAGCUGCGUAGUUACUAAUGUGCUCCUUUCUUGUUGAUGCAUGAAUCAGCCCAGGCUUCAACAAGGGCACAGCCUUUGCAUUAAGGAGCACCUCUGAGUUUUGAGCUGUGAGAACCUGUAUGUAUAAGCACCUACGCAUGCAGCAAGGCUUCCAGUGCAAAUGGUGUGGGAAGGACACACACAACAGACAGCCGAGUUUCGUUUGGGAACACUUUCUAUCUUGGCUUUCAAUUUGAGAGCCCAUUUCAGUUCCUGUAGGAAUUCCCAUUGGCUCUAGAUAGGCCCUAAAAGAAUAAUCCUGCCUUUUUGUGGUGGUUCAGCUCAUAUGCUACUGCCUCCAAGCUCAAAUAAAAGCAAAUUGUGAGGAGAAAGGUUCUGCAACACAUCAGCCAAGGGGGGCCAAAGAAACAUGCCAUAUCCAUUAAGAAUAUAUUAGGUAACUGUUACCACUAGAAAACAGGGGGACCUGGUGCUACACAAUGUUUACGGUGAUGUGUUUUCUCCUGACACAGAAUUAAAUUUAGCUCAGAAAGAUUGAUGUACACUUUCGAAACAUAUUACAAUACACUAUCUACGUUCUUCCUUUGCAUUCCUAGCAUACAUAAUAAGAUGAGCUCGCAAUUAUCAGUUCUGAAGACAGGAAAGAAAAAUAUUACUUCUAAAGAUACAGAAUAUCAGAAGGUUCUUUUCCUGGAAGGUAAUUUGUUUCCAGAACUAUCCUACACCGGAACUCCCACAGGAAUAGCAGGACUAACUUCAAAGGCUUGGGUGUCACACUGGAAGAGUUGUUACUAAUGGAAAGCCCCUAGAGCUGAGGUAACAGCUUAGGAAGGUGGCUCCCCACAUCUCUUUAAGUGAUAACCAUGAAUCUGCCUUAUAAAAAAAUCCAAGGGCUAUGAUGGUAAGCAGGGAUGCUUUAUUUAUUUAUUUAGGUUAUUUAAAUUCUCAUUAGCAGCUUGAGAGCAUUGGAGGACAAAGAAGAAAAUGAAGUCUAUGCCUCAGCCAGCAAAUCCAAGUGCCUGACACAAACAACUUCCACACCUGUAUUAAGGUGUAGGCAAGUCAUGUAGAGCAGCUGGAUGUCACACAUCUGACUCGUUCUGGUAUCCUGAAACAUCCUGAAAGUGGGCUGCCAGCAGGAUGGGCUGCAUCCUUGUGGUAACAGCAGGAAGAACUCUGAAAUAGCACUCCACAGUGUCUAGUCAUGCAUAUACACUAUAAAUACAUGUGAAAAUGAAUUUAUUCUUAAUGUUUCAACUGCAUCAAUUUACUAUGAUUCAGCUCUUGGUAUUCAAAGCAUGAAGAUGAGUCGUCUUAUUCUUUUAUUUUUCAGUUAUGACAGUGAUUGUUACCCUGACAAGGCUCACAAAAUUCUAUCACCAAACAUCAGGUAUUUAUGGCAGCAAAACACAAUUGUAUGUUAAGGAAUGCUGUCUAUUCCCCUAAUAUUUUAGCAAGUUAUUGCUGAAGUGAAAUACAUUUCUGAAGCUUGGACAGGAUACUUCUGGAAAAAUUACUUGUUUCCCUCAAGAACGUCUAUGGAGAUUGAUAUUGCACAGUAUUUUCUUUGAAGAGAACAGGUGUGGCAUCAUCCAUGUCUUUAUUUCCUGGACACUGGGAGGAAAUAAUUGUGAUUCAGCUCCUGAAGCACUCACUGUGAGCUAAGACAAGCGCAGGAGCUGGGCUCGAUGAUCCUUGUGGAUCCCCUCCAACUCGGGCUCUUCUAUGAUGACAAGAAACACCUCAUUUAGCAAAGCCACCGCAGCCCAAUUUCUUAUCUAUCACAUUGCCUUGCCUCUGUGGUAUACUGGGGAACACGAGAGCAGCCCCAUUGAAAUACUGUGAGGCGCUGAUGAUGACGUGUGUCACGUAUUGAUGGCUGUAAGUCCCCAUUUACAUUAAUAGAGCAUGAGGGUACUCCCUGGGCAUCUGUAAUUAAAAUUGUUGUCUUGAGGACCUCUGUGUUUACGGCAGAAUUCUCAUUUAUGCUAUGAGAAGGGUGCCCCAAACCCAGCACUCUGCCUGGAGCCCCUUUGUGUUUGUGGCAGUCAGUGUGAGGGGCGCAAGGACACUACUGAGCGCCCAAAAUCCGGCAUUCUGCCUGUGUUUUCGGCAGAUUAAACAGAUCUUCUUCAGAGGAAACAACUCCACGAGCACAACUGAAGUUUAUUUCCUGCGCCUUCAGUGCGUUACACGCUAAUAAAAUCGAACAAAACGCUUCCCCCGGCCUUCUUCUUCCAGCCGGGCCCUUCAGCAGAGCAGCCAACGCACCCGCGGCCCUCGCCCUGCCCCUUCCCACCCCCAGCAGAACGCCGCUCAGCUUCGCCCUUUUCCCCGCGGCGGAGCUGAGGCCGCUCGGUUUUCUCGCGCUUUCCACACGCAGACGCAGGGGUCUCCCGCCCGCAGGCUGCCGGGGCCCACA
Molecule: long non-coding RNA, 8661 nt
Filed under: Gallus gallus (chicken)
Lineage: Eukaryota; Metazoa; Chordata; Aves; Galliformes; Phasianidae
Description: lncRNA (ENSGALG00010019869.1)
Source: RNAcentral